CAGCAGCCGCGGGAAUACAGAGGGUGCGAGCGUUAAUCGGAUUUACUGGGCGUAAAGCGUGCGUAGGCGGCUUUUUAAGUCGGAUGUGAAAUCCCUGAGCUUAACUUAGGAAUUGCAUUCGAUACUGGGAAGCUAGAGUAUGGGAGAGGAUGGUAGAAUUCCAGGUGUAGCAGUGAAAUGCGUAGAGAUCGGAAGGAACAUCUGUGGCGAAGGCGACUAUCUGGGCCAACACUGACACUGAGGCACGAAAGCGUGGGGAGCAAACAGGAUUAGAGACCCCCGUAGUCCCUGUCUCUUAUAC
This 301-nucleotide ribosomal RNA is filed under the name uncultured bacterium. RNAcentral's name for it is "partial 16S ribosomal RNA". It matches the Rfam family "Bacterial small subunit ribosomal RNA", at positions 509 to 807 of the family's 1533-position model. The record is from RNAcentral.